AUGGUGUGCUUGUCUGACAGACAGGGCAGCUGAGGGGAAUAAGUCUCUGCAGCGUUGUAGUGAAGAGAGAAUACGGGACAACUGCAGGACCACAGCUCAGCCAAGACACAACCACAUGACUGAAGACAGAGCUCAUCUGGGUCAGUGUUUCAGAAAAUGUUGCCAAGAAACUUCAAAUGCAGAUUCCUGGACCUCAGUGCAAACUACCAUAUUGGAAGCUCCCUUGCAGCUGAGUUGGCCAUAUGACUGACAGCAAGCCCUGGAAUGCAGCCAGAAGUGAUGGAAGCCUCUUUCACACCAUGCUCCUAAAAUAUUCCAAGAAAUUUUCCAAACCCACUCUUUUUAGUCUGUGCAUCUGGAAGUGAAAGUUUUAGAAAGGGUAAAGUCACUUAAUGGAAAGGGCCCAGAUCUAGCCCCUCGGAGCCAAGCUGUUCAACUAGAAAUUCUGCAUUAGUAUUUGCGGCCCCAGUAAAAAAAAAAAGUCCCACAAAGAUGUAGGAUCUCACUUUGCCUGCAUUAAUUCCCUGUCCUUUGCGCAAUUUCUCCUCUCUUGGAAGGCAGAGGCAGCUUCUGAUUUU
RNAcentral lists this long non-coding RNA (578 nucleotides) under Pan troglodytes (chimpanzee). RNAcentral's name for it is "lincRNA". The record is from RNAcentral. Lineage: Eukaryota; Metazoa; Chordata; Mammalia; Primates; Hominidae.